UCGAGCGAACACUUCGGUGGUGAGCGGCGAACGGGUGAGUAACACGUAGGUGAUCUGCCCAUCAGACGGGGACAACGAUUGGAAACGAUCGCUAAUACCGGAUAGGACGAAAGUUUAAAGGUGCUUCUGGCACCGCUGAUGGAUGAGCCUGCGGCGCAUUAGCUAGUUGGUAGGGUAAAGGCCUACCAAGGCGACGAUGCGUAGCCGACCUGAGAGGGUGAACGGCCACACUGGGACUGAGACACGGCCCAGACUCCUACGGGAGGCAGCAGUAGGGAAUCUUCGGCAAUGGGCGAAAGCCUGACCGAGCAACGCCGCGUGAAUGAUGAAGGCCUUCGGGUUGUAAAAUUCUGUUAUAAGGGAAGAACGACUUUAGUAGGAAAUGGCUAGAGUGUGACGGUACCUUAUGAGAAAGCCACGGCUAACUACGUGCCAGCAGCUGCGGUAAUACGUAGGUGGCGAGCGUUAUCCGGAAUUAUUGGGCGUAAAGAGCGCGCAGGUGGUUGAUUAAGUCUGAUGUGAAAGCCCACGGCUUAACCGUGGAGGGUCAUUGGAAACUGGUCGACUUGAGUGCAGAAGAGGGAAGUGGAAUUCCAUGUGUAGCGGUGAAAUGCGUAGAGAUAUGGAGGAACACCAGUGGCGAAGGCGGCUUCCUGGUCUGUAACUGACACUGAGGCGCGAAAGCGUGGGGAGCAAACAGGAUUAGAUACCCUGGUAGUCCACGCCGUANACGAUGAGUGCUAAGUGUUGGGNGUCGAACCUC
This 763-nucleotide ribosomal RNA is filed under the name uncultured bacterium. Its description in RNAcentral is "bacterial SSU rRNA". It matches the Rfam family "Bacterial small subunit ribosomal RNA", at positions 62 to 840 of the family's 1533-position model. The record is from RNAcentral.